AUUUUAUACUAAUUGACACGAAGCAAGUACACUAACGCUAACGCUAGUAUUACUUCAUUACGAGAGUUGCAUAAUUUCUCUGCUUCUAUGUUCCGUGCAUCUAUAGAAUCAAUUAGUCCCUGUUACUGUGUGCUUGGAGUAGUGUUUACUUCAGUUUCCUCCAAUUCAACAAAGAGAAGAAGAAGGAGCAUGGAUCUGGUAGAGAAGAUCGGAACAUGGAGAAAACGGAGGCUAGCAUCAUACAACCAACUAGUUACUUCACCUUACUUCACCCAUUCAACGGAGGCAAGGCAAAGAAUUAUGUGGCGGAGAAAUAGAGAAUAACAUCACCUAUGUGGAUCUUAAGAAGGUCGGUUUCGACGGCCUUUCUUUUCACGCUAAAUUCCCCAUCAGGAAUCCUUACUUUGUUUCUAUUCCAUCAUGGAGAUCGAUUACUCGCUCAAAAGCGCCUUAAGCGAGCUGCUUGCUCUUCUUCAGAUGGAAGGCAGCUUUUGGAAUCAUCUAAAAUAGAGACUGAGGUAAUUGAUUUUUUGUUUAAAAAAAGUUGUGUAUUACAUUCUCCAUUCUUCCUAUUAAAACCUUCUACUGUAAAGAAACCAAAUUAUUUUGGUGGCUUCACAACUCCAUUGCUUCUUAGAUUUCUUCGUUCUGUUUGUCUUGGAUAUACCUAGAAAAUAUUUGAAUUAGAAGAAAAAAAUAAGGGAAAUCCUGGUGAGGAAUCAUAUAUAUUUUUGUAUACCUUAUGACUAAUGCUGCAAAUUUUUGUAGUGCAAUCAUGCUCUUCCUAAGCUGGUUGCAGUAUAUGGUCUGCAUCAACUGAAAUCUGGAGCUUAUAGAAUUCUUGCUGUUGUUCUGUAUCACAUCAGUAAUUUUAAUCAGGUGUUCAUUCUUUAGAAGCUCGUCAACAUAGACCUCCUUAAUCCUAAAUUGUAACCUUUUAUGUCUGCUUUAUUACUCUGACCUCGAUCUAUAUGUAUUGAUGUUGGUGGUAUCCACAACAGGCUAUACAAAGAGAGAGAAAUCAGAGAGUUUUAGAUGGAACUAAGAAGAGUUUUGUACACUUGAAGAGUAGCCUCUCAUCCCUUAUUACCUCUUGCUGCACCCACGGGAUUCUGUAGGUAUAGAAGAUAGGGUGUCGUUCGUAGAAAGCCAUAUCUUUUAUACAAAAGUAUAAUUCUGUAUAUGGGGCCCAGAUAGAAGAUUAGGACCAGAGGUAUAGCCUGAUUCCGCCACACCCUCCACCAGACCAUUUGGACGGCGAGCAUGAGUACAUGGGUUGGUAUCGCAGAGUUACCCGAAUUCUCGCCGGUAAUCCUGUUCAUCGCAUUGGUGGUCGGUACAUCCCAUACACCGGGAGGCAUGAGGCACUGGCUAUUGGCUUACACCAGUUCUACCAGUUGGGACUGGAGAUGCUACAGCAUACAAGCGAAGGAGCGGUAGUUGUCCAGGGUUUGGCCGUCGGGUUACUGAUCUUGGUGCUGACACAUUUAGACGUGCCCGAGAGGAUGGGCCCUUAGGAUACGAGGCUGCUUAUGUGCCGCCCGAGGAGUACCAUCAUGGGCCACAAGUAGACCCUGAACGUAGUAGACGUGGAAGGAGUGGCCAGAGAGGAAGGGGUGGCCCACGUGGUCGUAGUGGUCGGCGAAGAUGGGGUCCCCAGCAAGGGGGCGUUGAGGCACCCGUGGAGGAUAUUGUAGCUGAUCAGUCGGGUGACUACCCUGAGCCACACGAUGCUUCUUAUGAUCUGCCGCCAUUCAUCCUUCAACUGUCACAAAGGACUUUGCAGGUGACCCUGUCAGCUCCAGUGUUGAUCACGGGCACGGCCAUUACGCAGCAAAAGUGGGAUCAGCAUUUUCCUGAUCGUCCAGAACCAUCGACAGUUGCUGUUGAUCGUCCGAUAUGAGAUGUUCAUAGUGGGAGACGUCUAAGUUAUGGCUCAUCACCGAAGGCUGCUGAGGAUCUUUCAGGCAUAGAUAGGGAUACAUCACAUCGGGGCGAGACGCCAUAGCCUUCAUCUACUCCAGUACACCUCGAUAUUCCGAUAGAGCAUUGUGUCGCUACUCAGGCACAAGUUUGUUUGUAUUACUAUUAUUUCAAUUUGUUUUUACCUUAGAGAUUGGUCAGUAAUAUCUGAAGUGUUUAUAUUUUUUUAAAGAUUUCAUCAUCGCCCAUUACGGAGGCCACAUUGUGUGAUACUAACUUGCCAUAUACGAAUGAUCUUAUUCAGGAGCACGCUGAGACCAUGGUUACUAAUGGCCCAACGGCUUCUUCUAUCGAGGCUGCCAGCCUUAUUGACGAUCACGCUGCAGCACAUCCUCCGAUAAAGAGGCAACGUGAUAAGGAUGAUCCUGAUAGCGUUGCCGCGCCGGAUGGGAUGCGCCUCAGACCAGCCAUUGCUUUAAAGAAUACAUACUGUGGGACUCUUUGAUAUGUAUUCUGAGUUGUAUAUAUGACAUUAAAUAUAUA
Non-coding RNA from Nicotiana tabacum (common tobacco), 2466 nucleotides. NCBI's taxonomy places the organism in Eukaryota, Viridiplantae, Streptophyta, Magnoliopsida, Solanales, Solanaceae. The record is from RefSeq and is a predicted model, not a curated record.